AAGGACUUUGCUGAGUUUUAAAUGUUCUGAUGAGCCAAUGUACAAAGUUUGUGCUUUGAAGAAGCUUCGCCUUUUAGCUAGUGUCAAAACUCCUACAAGCUCCAGCAAGACCUGUGUUGAUGCCAAGUCAACACAAGCUCAGUCUCCAGCGUCUGACCACAAGAAGUCUGACUUGAGCAUGGAAAGCUACACAACAUGAGAAUGUUUUCUCAGAAGGAUUGGUUUCGAGCCACGUCACACCACUUCCCUCCAGAUGCAGUUGCGAAGGUGCAGAGCUGCUUGGUAUUCAGGGAGCAUCGGUGGCUCCGGGUCACUCAAUAUUCCAGGGCGAGGAGUGAAUUGCUCGGUAUUCCAGGGAUGUGCCAUCGCUCCGUGUCUGCCGGUACCCCAGCCCGUGCUGCUGAGAUCUCUCGGUAUUCCUCCGGUGUGCUUCAGGUGCUUAAAGGCUGUCACGGAGAGCUUGGGUGCCUGCCAGGACGAGAGCCUUCAGCAUUCACAUGUGCCUCCCCUGCGAGGGGUGAGGCACGCGGCCAGCCACUCGGCUCGCCGCUCUGCCGGCUUUUGAGAAUAGAGGCGAACACGAUGGUCAAAGAGAAAAUGACAAUAGAGAGGAGAGCAAAAGAGAAGCGGUGAAAGAAGGGAGAGAUAUGAAAGGACGGUUCUUUAGGAAAUGAGACCUUUGAGCCCCUCACACAGGUGCUUUCCAAUAGCCCUGGUUGAGGUUCAGAUUAAAACGGUGAAGGCAACGCAUCCCAUCUUUGUCAGGCUGACACCAGCACCCGAGGCAGAGCUGAUCAGAUCCAUUCAUUCUCACACUUUUUGCUACCGGUCAGUGUUAUGUGAUAAAAGGCUCAUUCCCACAACACAAAGGAGCAAAACAGGAGGCAAAGGAGUGAAUCAGGAACAUGGGACCUGACCUGGCUCCUCGCAGGGCUGUCCCAGGAGGCCGUCACCCCAUCCCGUGCAGAUGAAACCCAUCACGACCAAGUCAACGGGAGAGACUCUUCAGAGCACCUUUACCACUGGGAUGGGUCACUGCAGGGCAUGGCACUAGCUGUGAGACACAGGGAAGAGCCUUUGGGGAUCAGAAAAUACUUUGUACAAAUCUGUUUCUAAGAUUUUCUUAAAUAAUGUCUUUCAGAAAUUUUGCCUUGUCAUUUGAGAAAAGCACAACCCCCUCACUAUUCUUUUGUCUGCAAUUAUGACAAUUCCAUAAUGGCAUUGAAACAUAAUAAAAAUGAUUAGCAUAAAACUUCUUGAUUGACU
This 1266-nucleotide long non-coding RNA is filed under the name Anas platyrhynchos platyrhynchos (common mallard). RNAcentral describes it as "lncRNA (ENSAPLG00000020351.1)". Lineage: Eukaryota; Metazoa; Chordata; Aves; Anseriformes; Anatidae. The record is from RNAcentral.